Molecule: long non-coding RNA, 305 nt
Organism: Cyprinodon tularosa
Lineage: Eukaryota; Metazoa; Chordata; Actinopteri; Cyprinodontiformes; Cyprinodontidae
Exons: 2
Source: RefSeq, a predicted model, not a curated record
GUGUCUGUGGGCGGGGCUUUUCAGGAGCCCUCUCCUCAAACAGGAAGUAAGCUGCGUGUAGACUCCAAGAACUACAAAUUAUUUUGUUAUCUGAUCGAUAUGAAAUACGUUGAGAUUUUAAGAAGUCACCAUCACAAAGAGCCUCAGCGAUGAGAGAAAGAACCGAGUAGAAAAACCACAGAAAGCUGUAUGAGAAGGAAAAACAGCCAGUGCAAUAAAAGGUCAAUGGGAACAACUAACUUCGUAUUUUUUCCAUUUUUCUGUCAUCCUGUAUGUCUUGUAAAUUAAAAUGAGCGAAAAUAAAA